CCAAGCCCAAAACCAAUAGCAGAGGAAGGGUCGGGAAACCCUAACAGCAUAUGGCCUCCAGCAGACCCCAGCAGCCGCUCGUCUCGGAACCGGUACCCCCACGUUCACCUGCAAAACAGAUUCAAAGAGUCCAAACAUUGUAAAACAGCAAAAAAAAGGGGAAAUAAGUUGUUCUAGGUCUAUAAAAAGGCCAAUCUUUUGUAUUGAAAAGGGGAGAUUUUUUUUGGUAACAAAAAAGAAUACAAAGAAAAGAAAACAGAUUCGAAAAUUUUUGGAAAACGGAGGUGAUUAUUUUUUAGUUUACUUUGUGGGUGUUUGAUUUUAUUUACUUAUUUAUUAUUUAGUUUUUUUUAUUUUUUUAUUUUUUACUUAAAAUAUAAAAAGGGAGAAGGAAACUUGCCUUUUUCGCCGGAGUCGUCGAAUUGAGGCCGUCUCUGCCGCAAUCGGAGCAUUGGCACAAGAUGGAACGGCGGCUCAAGGGUUAAAAGAAAAACCCUAAACUGAGCAGGGUAGUUUUUUA
RNAcentral lists this long non-coding RNA (520 nucleotides) under Gossypium raimondii (Peruvian cotton). RNAcentral's name for it is "long non-coding RNA (GRAI_LNC004322)". The record is from RNAcentral. Lineage: Eukaryota; Viridiplantae; Streptophyta; Magnoliopsida; Malvales; Malvaceae.